ACUCAAAUGAAUUGACGGGGGCCCGCACAAGCGGCGGAGCAUGUUGCUUAAUUCGACGCAACGCGAAGAACCUUACCAAGGCUUGACAUACAGGGAAAAGCCGCAGAGAUGUGGUGUCCGCAAGGGUCCUGUACAGGUGGUGCAUGGCUGUCGUCAGCUCGUGUCGUGAGAUGUUGGGUUAAGUCCCGCAACGAGCGCAACCCUCGUCCUAUGUUGCCAGCGGGUAAUGCCGGGGACUCAUGGGAGACUGCCGGGGUCAACUCGGAGGAAGGUGGGGAUGAGGUCAAGUCCGCAUGCCCCUUAUGUCUUGGGCUGCAAACAUGCUACAAUGGUCGGUACAGAGGGCUGCAAGACCGCAAGGUUGAGCGAAUCUCAAAAAGCCGAUCUCAGUUCGGAUUGGGGUCUGCAACUCGACCCCAUGAAGUCGGAGUCGCUAGUAAUCGCGAAUCAGCAACGUCGCGGUGAAUACGUUCCCGGGCCUUGCACACACCGCCCGU
This 497-nucleotide ribosomal RNA is filed under the name uncultured bacterium. RNAcentral's name for it is "partial 16S ribosomal RNA". It matches the Rfam family "Bacterial small subunit ribosomal RNA", at positions 899 to 1397 of the family's 1533-position model. The record is from RNAcentral.